GGGGGAGCAUGGCGAGGAAGCGAUCCCCGAGGAGCGGAGCCCCGAGGAGCCGCAGCCGCUCCCAGUCGGGUGCGGCCGGUCCCGCACCCACCUGCGGGAGCUCCGCCGGAACGCGCGGGCGGAGCCGCGCCGGGCAGCGCCGGCUGUGACGUGACUCCGCCACGGGAAGGAAGCGACACAGGCUCGGGAAGCGCUCCCCGAGGGCGGAGGGGGCGGCCGAGGUCUAUCCUUCUGUGGGACAUGUGUCUAAAAUUCCCAGAGGAACUUGGAGGAGACAACUCCCAAAACUGGUACCAACGUGAACAGCAGCAGAGGAGAAGUGUGCUGAGCACAGACACAUCUGGCAAUGCCUCAGACAGAGCUCUGAGCAGCAUCUCCACAUUUUCUCUGCAAUCCUAUUUCCAUGAACUCCGAAGCUCUGAGAUAAAGCAAAGCUAUGACAGCCAACAACCAGUGGCAUCUAAUUGAACUUCAGGACACUGAAUUAUGAUGGAAGGAAUGUGGCAGUAUUUCCUAUUUCUGCUUUAUAGCCUGGCAGGCAUGUCUAGUCUUUCAGACUUCCAGCCCUUCCAGAAAAUGUAGCUGCUAAUACACACCAGUUGUUUUAAAUUGGAAGAACAUCCCCUUAAGUGUUUAAACUGAAUUUGAAAUACAAAAGAAGUAAUCCCAAAUCCCAAUUAUAUUUUGAAAAAGUAAAGAAAACACCAAAUCUUUGAGGAGGGUUGAUUAAAUCCUCCACCCUUUUAAAUGUUAAAGGAUGUUAUAUUUAAGAUGUGAGCUAAACAUGAGGGAUCUCUGAUGACUCCCAGUGCAGCUGGCAGGGCAGCAUUUGGUGCCAGGUAGGUGUAAUAGGGAAUGGAGUACUUUUCUGUGGAGGGCUGGGACACCUUUAUAUUUCUUGUAACUUGUUACAAUUUGUAAAUCAUGUAACUGUUAAUGCAUUUUGGCCAUCAUAUAUUCGCGUUCUUCAGACGUCUCUUCCAAGGAAGCUAGUUGAUGAGGUCCUGUUCUGGAUUUUUAAAGUCCAGCAGUUUAGUUUCUCCUUUUGUGGUUUGUUUAUUUCCUAGAUUCUUGAAGUGGUGCAAUUAGGGCUGAGGAAGAACCAGAUAUGGUGGGACAGAUGCAAGCUGUCAUAGAGUCAUCAGGAAGUAGAGAUAGUUUCUGGCAGCACACAGGAACACUGCCCAGGAGGUACAGGAGGGUUUUCCACAAUUACUGAGGUGGCAGAGGUUGGCUGCAAGUCUUACCAUGACCCCUGUGUUUUGUAACUUGAGUUUAAUCUUUGGCACAAACUUUUGUCUCUCUUUAGUCUGUUCAAAACUGCCAGUUACAUGGGAACAGAAAAAUUCCACACAUGCAGACUUUGGUCAGAAAUCAGACUGCAGUCUGCUCCCUCAGCUGCAGAAGUUUAGCAAAAUUACCUACAUUGCUAGGUAGUAAGUGAAAGAACAUUUCUCUCAAUUGCAAAAUUACCUGCAUUUUCUUCCAGGUGUGAAAUUUAAGCUAGUGAAAAGCUGCUUUUCUGCAAUGGUCAAUGCUGACUGUAAUAUUACACACAUAUUUUUUUAGGUAAGAACUAACAAUACUUUUGUACUACUUUCACACAUUAAAACUAAGUUUAGAUUGGUUUAGAAAGAAUGUUUUAGAAUCGUGCUUUUAGCUGAUUGGAUGUUUUACAAAUAAAAACACCCUGUUUUAAGGUGUUUGUUAUGAA
Molecule: long non-coding RNA, 1714 nt
Organism: Lonchura striata (white-rumped munia)
Lineage: Eukaryota; Metazoa; Chordata; Aves; Passeriformes; Estrildidae
Source: Ensembl